GAUGAACGCUAGCUACAGGCUUAACACAUGCAAGUCGCAGGGUAACAUGAGGAAAGCUUGCUUUCCUUGAUGACGACUGGCGCACGGGUGAGUAACGCGUAUCCAACCUUCCCAUAACUACGGGAUAACCCGUUGAAAGACGGCCUAAUACCGUAUGAUAUCGUUUGCUGACAUCAAAUAACGAUUAAAGGUUUAGCGGUUAUGGAUGGGGAUGCGUCUGAUUAGCUUGUUGGCGGGGUAACGGCCCACCAAGGCGACGAUCAGUAGGGGUUCUGAGAGGAAGGUCCCCCACAUUGGAACUGAGACACGGUCCAAACUCCUACGGGAGGCAGCAGUGAGGAAUAUUGGUCAAUGGGCGAGAGCCUGAACCAGCCAAGUAGCGUGCAGGAUGACGGCCCUAUGGGUUGUAAACUGCUUUUAUGUGGGGAUAAAGUGCGUGACGUGUCAUGCAUUGCAGGUACCACAUGAAUAAGGACCGGCUAAUUCCGUGCCAGCAGCCGCGGUAAUACGGAAGGUCCGGGCGUUAUCCGGAUUUAUUGGGUUUAAAGGGAGCGUAGGCUGUCUAUUAAGCGUGUUGUGAAAUAUACCGGCUCAACCGGUGGCUUGCAGCGCGAACUGGUCGACUUGAGUAUGCAGGAAGUAGGCGGAAUUCAUGGUGUAGCGGUGAAAUGCUUAGAUAUCAUGACGAACUCCGAUUGCGCAGGCAGCUUACAGUAGCAUAACUGACGCUGAUGCUCGAAAGUGCGGGUAUCAAACAGG
RNAcentral lists this ribosomal RNA (759 nucleotides) under uncultured Prevotella sp. RNAcentral's name for it is "bacterial SSU rRNA". It matches the Rfam family "Bacterial small subunit ribosomal RNA", at positions 28 to 776 of the family's 1533-position model. Lineage: Bacteria; Pseudomonadati; Bacteroidota; Bacteroidia; Bacteroidales; Prevotellaceae. The record is from RNAcentral.